This 651-nucleotide ribosomal RNA is filed under the name uncultured bacterium. RNAcentral describes it as "bacterial SSU rRNA". It matches the Rfam family "Bacterial small subunit ribosomal RNA", at positions 153 to 845 of the family's 1533-position model. The record is from RNAcentral.
GAAACGACUGCUAAUACCGCAUAAUCCCUGAGGGGGAAAGAUUUAUCGCUUUAAGAUUGGCCCGCGGAAGAUUAGGUAGUUGGUGGGGUAAAGGCCUACCAAGCCGACGAUCUAUAGCUGGUCUGAGAGGACGAACAGCCACAUUGGAACUGAGACACGGUCCAGACUCCUACGGGAGGCAGCAGUGAGGAAUAUUGGGCAAUGGAGGAAACUCUGACCCAGCCAUGCCGCGUGAGUGAAGAAGGUUUUCGAAUUGUAAAGCUCUUUCGGAUGGGACGAUGAUGACGGUACCAUCUAAAGAAGCCCCGGCAAACUUCGUGCCAGCAGCCGCGGUAAUACGAAGGGGGCAAGCGUUGUUCGGAAUUACUGGGCGUAAAGGGUGUGUAGGCGGAUUUGUAAGAUAGUGGUGAAAUACCUGAGCUCAACUUAGGAAUUGCCAUUAUAACUAUAGAUCUGGAGUGACAGAGAGGAUAUUGGAAUACCCAGUGUAGAGGUGAAAUUCGUAGAUAUUGGGUAGAACACCAGUGGCGAAGGCGAGUAUCUGGCUGUCAACUGACGCUGAGGCACGAAAGCAUGGGGAUCAAACAGGAUUAGAUACCCUGGUAGUCCAUGCUGUAAAAGAUGAAUGCUAGUUGUCGGCAAAAGCCGGUG